RNAcentral lists this ribosomal RNA (253 nucleotides) under uncultured bacterium. RNAcentral describes it as "partial 16S ribosomal RNA". It matches the Rfam family "Bacterial small subunit ribosomal RNA", at positions 524 to 776 of the family's 1533-position model. The record is from RNAcentral.
UACAGAGGUGGCAAGCGUUGUUCGGAAUUACUGGGCGUAAAGAGCGCGCAGGCGGUCGAUCAAGUCGAGUGUGAAAGCCCCCGGCUCAACUGGGGAGGGUCAUUCGAUACUGAUCGACUCGAAGGCAGGAGAGGGUAGUGGAAUUCCCGGUGUAGUGGUGAAAUGCGUAGAUAUCGGGAGGAACACCAGUGGCGAAGGCGACUACCUGGCCUGUUCUUGACGCUGAGGCGCGAAAGCUAGGGGAGCAAACGGG